Molecule: ribosomal RNA, 497 nt
Filed under: uncultured bacterium
Lineage: Bacteria
Description: partial 16S ribosomal RNA
Rfam family: Bacterial small subunit ribosomal RNA
Source: RNAcentral
GAUGAACGCUGGCGGCGUGCCUAAUACAUGCAAGUCGAGCGAACGGACGAGAAGCUUGCUUCUCUGAUGUUAGCGGCGGACGGGUGAGUAACACGUGGAUAACCUACCUAUAAGACUGGGAUAACUUCGGGAAACCGGAGCUAAUUCCGGCUGAUAUUUUGAACCGCAUGGUUCAAAAGUGAAAGACGGUCUUGCUGUCACUUAUAGAUGGAUCCGCGCUGCAUUAGCUAGUUGGUAAGGUAACGGCUUACCAAGGCAACGAUCCGUAGCCGACCUGAGAGGGUGAUCAGCCACACUGGAACUGAGACACGGUCCAGACUCCUACGGGAGGCAGCAGUAGGGAAUCUUCCGCAAUGGGCGAAAGCCUGACGGAGCAACGCCGCGUGAGUGAUGAAGGUCUUCGGAUCGUAAAACUCUGUUGUUAGGGAAGAACAUAUGUGUAAGUAACUGUGCACAUCUUGACGGUACCUAAACAGAAAGCCACGGCUAACUACGUG